GCCGAGCACUCCUACGGGAGGCAGCAGUGGGAAUAUUGCACAAUGGGCGCAAGCCUGAUGCAGCCAUGCCGCGUGUAUGAAGAAGGCCUUCGGGUUGUAAAGUACUUUCAGCAGUGAGGAAGGUGGGUAUGUUAAUAGCAUACUCAUUUGACGUUAGCUGCAGAAGAAGCACCGGCUAACUCCGUGCCAGCAGCCGCGGUAAUACGGAGGGUGCGAGCGUUAAUCGGAAUUACUGGGCGUAAAGCGCAUGCAGGUGGUUGUUAAGUCAGAUGUGAAAGCCCGGGGCUCAACCUCGGAAUUGCAUUUGAAACUGGCAAACUAGAGUACUGUAGAGGGGGUAGAAUUUCAGGUGUAGCGGUGAAAAUGCGUAGAGAUCUGAAGGAAUACCGGUGGCGAAGGCGGCCCCCUGGACAGAUACUGACACUCAGAUGCGAAAGCGUGGGGAGCAAACAGGAUUAGAUACCCCGGUAG
This 471-nucleotide ribosomal RNA is filed under the name uncultured bacterium. Its description in RNAcentral is "bacterial SSU rRNA". It matches the Rfam family "Bacterial small subunit ribosomal RNA", at positions 328 to 793 of the family's 1533-position model. The record is from RNAcentral.